GCACAAGCAGCGGAGCGUGUGGUUUAAUUCGAUGCUACACGAAGAACCUUACCAAGGUUUGACAUGCAAGUGGUAGUGAUCUGAAAGUGAACGACCCUUCGGGGAGCUUGCACAGGUGCUGCAUGGCUGUCGUCAGCUCGUGUCGUGAGAUGUUCGGUUAAGUCCGCUAACGAGCGCAGCCCUCACUGUGUGUUAUACGUGUCACACGGGACUGCCGGUUUUAAGCCGGAGGAAGGCGAGGAUGAAGUCAAGUCAGCAUGGCCUUUAUAUCUUGGGCUACACACACGCUACAAUGGUCUGUACAACAGGUUGCCAAGCCGCGAGGCGGAGCCAAUCCUAAAAGCAGGCCUCAGUUCAGAUUGUAGGCUGCAACCCGCCUGCAUGAAGAUGGAGUUGCUAGUAACCGCAGGUCAGCUAUACUGCGGUGAAUACGUUCCCGGGUCUU
RNAcentral lists this ribosomal RNA (445 nucleotides) under uncultured Anaerolineaceae bacterium. RNAcentral's name for it is "bacterial SSU rRNA". It matches the Rfam family "Bacterial small subunit ribosomal RNA", at positions 923 to 1382 of the family's 1533-position model. Lineage: Bacteria; Bacillati; Chloroflexota; Anaerolineae; Anaerolineales; Anaerolineaceae. The record is from RNAcentral.